This 413-nucleotide ribosomal RNA is filed under the name uncultured prokaryote. RNAcentral describes it as "bacterial SSU rRNA". It matches the Rfam family "Bacterial small subunit ribosomal RNA", at positions 505 to 918 of the family's 1533-position model. The record is from RNAcentral.
GUAUCAGCCGCCGCGUUAAUACGAAGGGGGCUAGCGUUGUUCGGAAUUACUGGGCGUAAAGCGCGCGUAGGCGGACUGGUCAGUCAGGGGUGAAAUCCCGGGGCUUAACCUCGGAACUGCCUUUGAUACUGCCAGUCUCGAGUCCGGAAGAGGUGAGUGGAAUUCCUAGUGUAGAGGUGAAGUUCGUAGAUAUUAGGAAGAACACCGGUGGCGAAGGCGGCUCACUGGUCCGGUACUGACGCUGAGGCGCGAAAGCGUGGGGAGCAAACAGGAUUAGAUACCCUGGUAGUCCGCGCCGUAAACGAUGGAUGCUAGCCGUUGGGUAGUGUACUGCUCAGUGGCGCAGCUAACGCAUUAAGCAUCCCGCCUGGGGAGUACGGCCGCAAGGUUAAAACUCAAAGGAAUUGGCGGGG